AACGAACGCUGGCGGCAUGCCUAACACAUGCAAGUCGAACGAGACCUUCGGGUCUAGUGGCGCACGGGUGCGUAACGCGUGGGAACCUGCCCUUAGGUUCGGAAUAACUCCCCGAAAGGGGUGCUAAUACCGGAUAAUGUCUUCGGACCAAAGAUUUAUCGCCUUUGGAUGGGCCCGCGUUGGAUUAGCUAGUUGGUAGGGUAAAAGCCUACCAAGGCGACGAUCCAUAGCUGGUCUGAGAGGAUGAUCAGCCACACUGGGACUGAGACACGGCCCAGACUCCUACGGGGGGCGGGAGGGGGGAAUUUGGGAACAGGGGCGAAGCCCGAACCCAGCAGUGCCGGGUGGGGGAUGAAGGCUUUGGGGUUUAAAAGCUUUUUUCCCCGGGAUAAAAAUGCCGGUCCCGGGAAAAAAAGCCCCGGCUACCCCCGU
RNAcentral lists this ribosomal RNA (432 nucleotides) under uncultured bacterium. Its description in RNAcentral is "partial 16S ribosomal RNA". It matches the Rfam family "Bacterial small subunit ribosomal RNA", at positions 29 to 506 of the family's 1533-position model. The record is from RNAcentral.